RNAcentral lists this microRNA precursor (83 nucleotides) under Mus spretus (western wild mouse). Its description in RNAcentral is "predicted gene, 55569 (ENSMSPG00010044561.1)". Lineage: Eukaryota; Metazoa; Chordata; Mammalia; Rodentia; Muridae. The record is from RNAcentral.
AUCUUAUUUGGAGCAUUCCAGUAACUUUUUGGUAUGUACCUAGCUGUACUAUAAGUAGUUGGUUUGUAUGAGAUGGUUAAAAA